CUCCCCUCUUUCUUGCUCACGGUCUCUCACUCCAGCGUUCCUCUUUUCCGCUGCCACCUUCGCCGGCCGGUUCCCGCGAACUCCGGCGGUCUCCGCCAUCGUGCUGGCUACCAAUCUCUCCAUCUCCUCGCGCUCUAUAUACUCCACCGCAUGGAUACGUCGAUCCCAUCCUCCCGUGGUUGCCCGCAUCAGUUUUCCCAAUCUAGGGUUUCGGUGCGGUCGACCUCCUUAUUGUUGGCGAUGCUCCAGCGCCUUGGUCUGGUUUGUCUCCUGUCAUACUUUCUCGUGCUGAUGUGCCUCCUGGAUGGCGCUCUUGUGCCUAGGAUGCACGCCCACGUCGGCGGGGACGGCACAGUGAGCGGGUGGGAGGAGAGGCGGUGGCUUUGAUCUAUUAUCUAUGUCCACAUGGGAGGCGACAGAGCGAUCUAGACGAGAUGACUGGUGCCGGUUUCCUCACCAGCUGCAGGUCCGUAUCUCGGUUCCUGCCCAUCGUCUGCCACCAUGGGGCCUGCUGCUUUGGGAGAAGGCUAAGCGUCACUCUUUGUGUGCAUCUAUCUUUGAUUCUUAAGUACGUCCCUAGCCCCACCGUGCCUUCCACUCGUUGUUUCAAUUGCGGCUGAUUUUUUCAUUUCUUGGUCGUGCAAGUUGACACCAUCGUAUUGGCCCAUAAUUUUGAGAGAGCCAAGGAAUUGAUUUAUUAUAUUGUUAGCAUGGGAACAUUUUUAGCAAAACAAUUGAUGGUUUGACUUCUCUAUCAAAAUUUUGGUUCGGCAAUAGAUUUUGGAAGAACAAAAAGAUCCUUUGUAGUUCACACUUUGACCAACAUCUGAAGAUGGCAAAAGCAAGAAACCUUCCAGAAAUUCAUGGUUUGACUUCUCUGUCAAAAUUUUGGUUCAACAGAUUUCGGAAGUAUAAAAAGAUUCUUUUAGUUCACACUUUGACCAACAUCUGAAGAUGGCAAAAGCAAGAAACAUUCCAUAAAUUCAUUGCUGAAGUAAGUAGCAAAUGUGCAUUCUAAUGUGUACAUUGGCUUUCUACCCAUUGUAGUGUGUAAUAGGGAUUUAGACUGUUCCACUUGCUGGUCCUGCUAUUGCACAAUAAAGACUCCAUAUAUUUGAUACACUUUGAUUUGAUUAGGUAAUUAAGUUAGGACUUCGAAGUAGUCUACUAAGAAUGGAUAAGCCUGGAUCCAAACUUUAUUCAUAGUAAUUUGGAUACUUAGAUUCUUAGGAUUUAAUGCAUUAUUCUGUGUGAACAAAAAGUACAAUUCUUCCCAUGAAUCUGUUAAUCCGUCUUUUUGUUUGUUGCAACUAACAUUUUCAACUAUACUAAUAGACGAGAACAUGAUGCAUGUUUGUCUGGCAGAGAAUUAACCUCGCUUCCUUACAUCCUUUGAAUUCAAAUACAAAAUAUGGAUGCCAUGAUAAGUGGCAGAAACAAUCUUAAUUUAUAUUAUCAUAUAUUCUAUUUCAUGAGCCAUGCAUAUUUGAGAUUUUUUUCCUUUUAGCAUCUUAGUCGUGUAGUCACUACGAAGAAUGAUUAACAUAUGUAGUUUACUAUGUUUGGACUGCACCACUAAUUUAAUUUGUCUUUGCUGAAUGUUACAUAUGUACUAACCCCUACUAAGCUAAAUCAGAUACGAGGGAACUUUGUGGCGGCAUUUACACUGUCUAAGGAAGGUGCGGAUGCAAGCUCACAUGUUUUUCUAAUUUUGUUUGUAGCUAGCUCUUGGUUACUAACUUAUGAAAAAAUGCUUACUUUGUACUAAGUUGGUAGGGUUGCUGAAAAUUCCAUUAACAUCAACUUUCUAUGUUGCUGCAUUCCCUUUGUAAGCAAAGAAACAUCAUCUUUCAACUCGGACAAAGAUUUCUUGAAUGUUGCAGACUGCUAUGUUCACCUGUCUGACACGUUUUGGAUUCUAUCGCAUAUGAGGUUGGUAUCAUGAAACAACCCAUUUUACUUUCAUUUUCAAGACUCAUGCACACCAUCUACCUGCUAAAAUCGCCGGGAAUGACUACAAGAUGAAGGCGCACAGGGUUUCUUCUCACCUUCCUCUGGGUUUUCUCUUUGAUAUCCAUUGCCUUGGGCUUUUCUUGAUUCCUUCUCUAAUAACUACGUUUGGUUUACUAGCUAAAAUGUAAAUCCAUGAGCCACUUAGAACCCCUCACGAUUUUUAGUUCUACCCCAUUAUUGUUUCGACUGCUGAACUUCUGUGCUAUUUUUGGGACUACAGUUAUCAGAACUCCCUAAGAGUUAUUACUAGUGAGAAUGAGCCAUUGUUUCUUUUUCAUGUUGGUCUCUAUCAAACCAUAACUUUUAUGUAUCGAUGAUCUGCGCCAUGGACGGCUGAUGAGUAUUCAAUAAUGACUGGCAUGUUGUGCACUAAACGUUGCACUUUUUAUGGUGUUCUUCCUCGAGGACUAUUGAGCAUUAGAGUUACCAAGAACUAAACCGAGUGAUCAUAUUAAGCAGGGACUUUCAGUGUGGUUUGAACACGAACGGCUACAAAGGGCAAGAGCUUCAGGAAAAGGCAUUGAAGAGGUGUUUGCACCAUGUUUGUGAUUAUGUCCUAUGAGUUAUCUGCAAUUAUUAACCAUAUGGUUAACUGCAGACCUAUCGCAUCCCUGGUUUAAGUCUUAUUUUGUUAUUUCCAGGAGCUACUUGCUCAUCCUGAUCCAUCUCUUUAGAAGUUACACAUGAGGUCGUGUAUUGUAAAUUCCUAAGCUUCUACUGUUGACUUACUAAUUCAGUAUCUAUAUGUAGGUGGGUAAUAUUAGUUGCAUUUCAGGAUCCUGUUUUGUUAAACUAUAGCUAAGUUAUGUGGUCGAAUCUAAUGGACUCAAAUAAAUAUAAUUUGAUGUGACAAUCCAUGUCAUAUUAUAACUCAUGGCCAACUUAGCAAGAACAAAAUUGUGAAAUGAGUUGUGUAAAGUGUUGAUCUUGGUAUUAUUUGCCUAUCUUUAGGAAUUGUGUUACAGUGAUGUCAACUAUGGAGUAAACUUAUUGUAAUAUUAUUUUUGUGCUCCAUGGUUUAGGUACAAGGAGCUGAAGGUCUUACUGUUAGAGUGGUUUCUUAAGAUGCAAGAGUGCUUCAGGUGAUUUUUUUAAGAAGGAAAAUUAUCAUGGGAAAUUUCCGUACAAAUCAAAGGGCCCAGCGAAAGGGAAUCAAUAUGUACAUCGCCAGGAAGAAGAUCCAGAAGGGCAUGGGCGUCGAGCCCUCUAAGUUCGGGGAUACCAUUGAGAAGCUAGGUUUUCUUUGACCUGGAGAAUGACAACCAGGAGCUCAAGAGUGACCUCAAGGACCUCUACAUUAGCACUGCAAUGUAAGUCGCAUUUCACUACAUCAAGAUCCUCCUGAUCUAUUGUGCAUGCCGAUCUAUUUGGCUUCGGUGUACGAGAUAAUGAUACGGUCAUGAUGUGCAUAAAACUUCUAAGGUUUGUAGGCUACCUCUGUAUUCUCCUUUUACUUGCGAACCAGUUAGUUAACUUUUAUUGUACAUGCAUUCUUUGAAUUCCGUGGAUGCUCUUUAUAUUGGUAAAUUGGUUGUGCCACCUACCAUAAUAGUUUCUUUUGGUCUAAGAACUUUUACAACAAAACCCCUAGCCACCAAAGCAUUACUGCAUGGAAAUUACUGUGACAUUACUAUGUUUGAAUUUUAUGCAGAAACAAGUCAGCGAACUGGAAAUAGAAAUAGGUUAGUUCCAUGGUUAUUGAAGAUAGCGUGGGCUUCAUACAAGGAGAUGUUGUGUUUUGACAAUAUUAAGAAAUUGAGUUAACUUAGUUUGAACUCACAACAUAUUGUACUAAAAAUUUGUGCUCUAAGAAACUCUACAUUUCAUGGAACUCGAUGAUGCCUCGUUUUGUCCAAAAUUGUUUAUAUGCUGAGGCAAUCGAAUUUGUUGGUGCAAUGCUUCAUGAUCGUUUUCAGCCUACUUGUAUUUCUGAGGUUAGAACAACUUAAUGUUGAUUUUUAUUUUCUCUUUCUCUUUUCUGCAAUACAUGCUUUUCAUAAGGUGGUCCAUAGUUGGUCCUCGAAGAAAUUCAUGACUGGAUGGAAGGUAGAGCUGUAUGAUCUGGCAGCAUUCACUUUCUAUGCUCCUUUGUCCAUUGGAAAAUAAUGCUGGGCCGAUCUCAUUCUUUUCAAAAGAACCAACUUGACAAAUCGAGAAUAUCAAAUGGAUCAUGCUUGCUGCAUAUUAUGUUUUUUACAACUUUUAUGACUGGAGGAAGGAGGACUGACUAAUUUAAUCAUAUGAAGAGUGAUCCUGGCAGUCUCGCGGCCUUGGCUUAGUUUGCACUCUUCAGAAAAGAUUGUGGGUAUAUAUCCUUGUCAUUGGUAUCCAGUUAUCUGCUGGUUGGGACUGGGUCUAUUUGUAUGGCCACAGAAGAAGCCAGGAAGGUGGGGCAGAGCAGGAGGACAAAUCUAUGGUGGUGAUCUAGUGUGGGGUGGGAGAAGGAUCUGCGUGGGGAGUGUGGUAUCUCACAUCUCUCUCAUAGUUUACGCUCAAUUAAUCCAGUACUAUCAUGUACCGGUAUCAUGGAGUUAGACAGCGACUGACUGAAUGAACUGGUGGGCUCUAUGUUUCCCCUACUAUGGUUGGAAGCAGGUCAGAUAGACUAAUCGCAGGAGCUAGGGCUGCAAAGAUGUCUCUAGGAUUGAACGGUUUACAUAAAGAGGGAGAAUGCCGGCAGCUGGGAUUCUGGCUGGAAAAGGAGCAAAUAUUA
This is an RNA transcript of Triticum urartu, 4726 nucleotides long. It is a transcript of the gene named small ribosomal subunit protein eS7-like, with no coding region annotated. NCBI's taxonomy places the organism in Eukaryota, Viridiplantae, Streptophyta, Magnoliopsida, Poales, Poaceae. The record is from RefSeq and is a predicted model, not a curated record.